AACGAACGCUGGCGGCAGGCCUAACACAUGCAAGUCGAGCGGACCCUUCGGGGUUAGCGGCGGACGGGUGAGUAACGCGUGGGAAUAUGCCCUUCUCUACGGAAUAGUCCUGGGAAACUGGGGGUAAUACCGUAUACGCCCUUUGGGGGAAAGAUUUAUCGGGGAAGGAUUAGCCCGCGUUGGAUUAGGUAGUUGGUGGGGUAAUGGCCUACCAAGCCGACGAUCCAUAGCUGGUUUGAGAGGAUGAUCAGCCACACUGGGACUGAGACACGGCCCAGACGCCUCCGGGAGGCAGCAGUGGGGAAUGUUAGACAAUGGGGGCAAGCCUGAUCUAGCCAUGCCGCGUGAGGGAUGAAGGCCUUAGGGUUGUAAAGCUCUUUCAGCUGGGAAGAUAAUGACGGGACCAGCAGAAGAAGUCCCGGCUAACUCCGUG
RNAcentral lists this ribosomal RNA (433 nucleotides) under uncultured bacterium. RNAcentral describes it as "partial 16S ribosomal RNA". It matches the Rfam family "Bacterial small subunit ribosomal RNA", at positions 29 to 507 of the family's 1533-position model. The record is from RNAcentral.